AUGGAAGUGGCAUUAGCUACUGCUACCUUAAGCGUAAGCUUAAAAUUGGCUGCAUCGCCGGCCUUAAAGAAGCUCCUUUCUAAUGCUUCAACAUACCUUGGAGUGGAUAUGGCGCGUGAGCUCCAUGAACUGGAGACCACUAUCUUGCCACAGUUCGAGCUGUUGAUUGAAGCAGCAGAUAAGGGAAACCAAAGGCUCAAGUUGGACAAAUGGCUUCAGGAACUCAAAGAAGGCUUCUACCUGGCUGAAGACUUGCUGGACGAGCAUGAGUAUAACCUCCUCAAGCGCCAAGCUAAGGGGAAGGAUUCCUUGCCGGCCAAUGCCUCCUCCAUCAGCAACACUUUAAUGAAGCCUUUGCGUGCUGCAUCAAGCAGGCUGUCCAAUCUGAGCUCUGAGAACAGAAAGUUAAUUCAACAUCUGAAUGAACUGAAGACCACCCUGGCAAAAGCCAAGGACUUCCGUCAACUACUUUGCUUACUAGCUAGUUAUAAUGCAGCAAGCCCCACCAAAACAUCAGAUGUUGUUCCUGAGACCACAUCACUUCCACCUUUAAAAGUAAUUGGUCGUGAUAAUGAUCGCGAUUGUAUAAUAAAUCUUCUUACCAAGACAACUACUAUUACUACUGAGUCUAGUGUUUCUAUGUACUCGGAUUUGGCCAUUGUUGGAGCUGGAGGCAUGGGAAAGUCCACCUUGGCACAGCUUGUUUACAAUGACAAGAGGGUAAAAGAAUAUUUUGAUGUGACAAUGUGGGUAAGCAUCUCACGCAAACUUGAUGUUCGCCGUCAUACACGAGAGAUCAUUGAGUCGGCCUCUCGGGGGGAAUGCCCACGCAUUGAUAGUCUUGAUACUCUGCAGCGCAAAUUGACAGACAUACUGCAAGAAUCAGGGAAAUUCCUACUUGUGUUGGAUGAUGUUUGGUUUGAACCUGGCAAUCAGAGGGAAUGGGACCUAUUCUUAGCUCCUCUAGUUUCCCAGCAGACGGGAAGCAAAGUUUUGGUAACCUCUUGA
This 1008-nucleotide ribosomal RNA is filed under the name Triticum aestivum (bread wheat). Its description in RNAcentral is "partial small subunit ribosomal RNA". Lineage: Eukaryota; Viridiplantae; Streptophyta; Magnoliopsida; Poales; Poaceae. The record is from RNAcentral.